Non-coding RNA from Mustela putorius furo (domestic ferret), 52 nucleotides. NCBI's taxonomy places the organism in Eukaryota, Metazoa, Chordata, Mammalia, Carnivora, Mustelidae. The record is from Rfam.
UUUUAAGUAUAAGUAUGUCCCAUGUAAUGUUUGGGACAUACUUGUACUAAAA